UGGUUCAGUGGUAGAAUUCUUGUCUGCUACACAGGAGACCUGGGUUCAAUUCCCAG
This 56-nucleotide transfer RNA is filed under the name Alligator mississippiensis (American alligator). It matches the Rfam family "tRNA", at positions 8 to 63 of the family's 71-position model. Rfam says of the family: Transfer RNA (tRNA) molecules are approximately 80 nucleotides in length. The record is from Rfam by way of RNAcentral. Lineage: Eukaryota; Metazoa; Chordata; Crocodylia; Alligatoridae.